RNAcentral lists this ribosomal RNA (751 nucleotides) under uncultured bacterium. RNAcentral describes it as "bacterial SSU rRNA". It matches the Rfam family "Bacterial small subunit ribosomal RNA", at positions 33 to 773 of the family's 1533-position model. The record is from RNAcentral.
ACGCUGGCGGCAGGCCUAACACAUGCAAGUCGAGCGGUAGCACGGGAGAGCUUGCUCUCUGGGUGACGAGCGGCGGACGGGUGAGUAAUGUCUGGGAAACUGCCUGAUGGAGGGGGAUAACUACUGGAAACGGUAGCUAAUACCGCAUGACCUCGCAAGAGCAAAGUGGGGGACCUUCGGGCCUCACGCCAUCGGAUGUGCCCAGAUGGGAUUAGCUAGUAGGUGGGGUAAUGGCUCACCUAGGCGACGAUCCCUAGCUGGUCUGAGAGGAUGACCAGCCACACUGGAACUGAGACACGGUCCAGACUCCUACGGGAGGCAGCAGUGGGGAAUAUUGCACAAUGGGCGCAAGCCUGAUGCAGCCAUGCCGCGUGUGUGAAGAAGGCCUUAGGGUUGUAAAGCACUUUCAGCGAGGAGGAAGGCGUUGUAGUUAAUAGCUGCAGCGAUUGACGUUACUCGCAGAAGAAGCACCGGCUAACUCCGUGCCAGCAGCCGCGGUAAUACGGAGGGUGCAAGCGUUAAUCGGAAUUACUGGGCGUAAAGCGCACGCAGGCGGUUUGUUAAGUCAGAUGUGAAAUCCCCGAGCUUAACUUGGGAACUGCAUUUGAAACUGGCAAGCUAGAGUCUUGUAGAGGGGGGUAGAAUUCCAGGUGUAGCGGUGAAAUGCGUAGAGAUCUGGAGGAAUACCGGUGGCGAAGGCGGCCCCCUGGACAAAGACUGACGCUCAGGUGCGAAAGCGUGGGGAGCAAAC